This 253-nucleotide ribosomal RNA is filed under the name uncultured bacterium. RNAcentral describes it as "partial 16S ribosomal RNA". It matches the Rfam family "Bacterial small subunit ribosomal RNA", at positions 524 to 776 of the family's 1533-position model. The record is from RNAcentral.
UACGGAGGGAGCAAGCGUUACUCGGAAUUACUGGGCGUAAAGGGCGCGUAGGCGGUUCGAUAAGUCAGCUGUGAAAACCAUGGGCUUAACUCAUGGCCUGCAGUUGAGACUGUCGGGCUGGAGUGUGGGAGAGGAGAGUGGAAUUCCUGGUGUAGCGGUGAAAUGCGUAGAUAUCAGGAGGAACAUCGGUGGCGAAGGCGGCUCUCUGGACCACAACUGACGCUGAGGCGCGAAAGCGAGGGGAGCAAACAGG